GACGAACGCUGGCGGCGUGCCUAAUACAUGCAAGUAGAACGCUGAAGAGAGGAGCUUGCUCUUCUUGGAUGAGUUGCGAACGGGUGAGUAACGCGUAGGUAACCUGCCUGGUAGCGGGGGAUAACUAUUGGAAACGAUAGCUAAUACCGCAUAAAAUGGAUUAUCGCAUGAUAAUCAAUUGAAAGGUGCAAAUGCAUCACUACCAGAUGGACCUGCGUUGUAUUAGCUAGUUGGUGGGGUAACGGCUCACCAAGGCGACGAUACAUAGCCGACCUGAGAGGGUGAUCGGCCACACUGGGACUGAGACACGGCCCAGACUCCUACGGGAGGCAGCAGUAGGGAAUCUUCGGCAAUGGACGGAAGUCUGACCGAGCAACGCCGCGUGAGUGAAGAAGGUUUUCGGAUCGUAAAGCUCUGUUGUAAGAGAAGAACGAGUGUGAGAGUGGAAAGUUCACACUGUGA
Molecule: ribosomal RNA, 462 nt
Filed under: Streptococcus sp. oral taxon 071
Lineage: Bacteria; Bacillati; Bacillota; Bacilli; Lactobacillales; Streptococcaceae
Description: bacterial SSU rRNA
Rfam family: Bacterial small subunit ribosomal RNA
Source: RNAcentral